RNAcentral lists this ribosomal RNA (209 nucleotides) under uncultured bacterium. RNAcentral describes it as "partial 16S ribosomal RNA". It matches the Rfam family "Bacterial small subunit ribosomal RNA", at positions 1284 to 1500 of the family's 1533-position model. The record is from RNAcentral.
AGUCUCAGUUCGGAUUGGAGUCUGCAACCCGACUCCAUGAAGCUGGAUUCGCUAGUAAUCGCGCAUCAGCCACGGCGCGGUGAAUACGUUCCCGGGCCUUGUACACACCGCCCGUCAAGCCAUGGAAGCCGGGAGUGCCUGAAGUACGCGACCGCAAGGAGCGUCCUAAGGUAAAACCGGUGACUGGGGCUAAGUCGUAACAAGGUAUC